This 253-nucleotide ribosomal RNA is filed under the name uncultured bacterium. Its description in RNAcentral is "partial 16S ribosomal RNA". It matches the Rfam family "Bacterial small subunit ribosomal RNA", at positions 524 to 776 of the family's 1533-position model. The record is from RNAcentral.
GACGUAGGGGGCCAGCGUUGCUCGGAAUUACUGGGCGUAAAGGGCGCGUAGGCGGUUAUCUAAGUUGGGGGUGAAAUCCCGGGGCUCAACCUCGGAAUUGCCUUCAAAACUGGAUAUCUUGAGUUCGGGAGAGGUGAGUGGAACUCCGAGUGUAGAGGUGAAAUUCGUAGAUAUUCGGAAGAACACCAGUGGCGAAGGCGACUCACUGGCCCGAUACUGACGCUGAGGCGCGAAAGCGUGGGGAGCAAACAGG